Non-coding RNA from Elaeis guineensis (African oil palm), 4652 nucleotides. The record is from RefSeq and is a predicted model, not a curated record. NCBI's taxonomy places the organism in Eukaryota, Viridiplantae, Streptophyta, Magnoliopsida, Arecales, Arecaceae.
AAUCCUAAGCGCCCCUCGGUCCAGAGUCGAAACCUUAAGGCUCUAUCCGCUCGCCCGCUCCAUUGCUCCUCUUCCGAUUAUAAGAAGAAGAUCCCCAGGUAGGGGGAAAAACAAAGAAAAAAAUCCCUCUAUCGCCCCCACCCCGAUUCUCUUCUCUUCUAUCUUGGAUCAUUCUCAAAAGAAAAUUCUUAUAUUUGUCUUCUCAAAAAUAACUCUCCAAUUGUUCGGUCGCGGCUCCGUUAGGGUUUUGUUAUCUGGAAGCAUGAGGACUAGAAAUGCCGACGCUCCCAAAUCUGGGGCGGCCAAGAAGACGCCUCCACCCAAGAAAGACGGUUCGGCCACCGCUGCCGCCGAUAAAACACCGGAGGCCGCGCCCAAAUCCGCGCCCAAAUCGGGAGCCAGGUCUGCCAAGGGCGCCGCCAAGCAGUCCGCAGCCAAGGCGGCGGCGGCCGCCUCUUCGCCCGUCCCUGUACCCGCCACGCCCGAUGCCAAACCAGACCCCAAAGUCGACGAAGUGGCAACUCUGGCCGAUGAGAAGAAGCUGGCUUCGCCCGUGAAGUCUCCUCCAGAGAAGAAGGCGACCGGCAAGGCCAAAUCGCUGUUGGGUGGGAGGGCUGCUGCAGCUGCUCCUAAGGUGGAGGAGGCUGUGGAAGAGCCAGCACCACCAGAGGUGAUGUAUGCCACGGAAGAGCCACUUUCGAAAGCUGAAGAAGAUGCGAGUAAGGAGGAGGACGAAGAGCCAAAGGCCAAAGCUGUCCUGUAUGCGAAGGCCGAAGCUGUCACGUAUGCGAAGGGCAAAGCGGUCCCAGAUGCCAAGGACGAGCCAGAGAGCAAUCCAGUCAAGAAUGAGGAAGAAGAGGCUGCCGGAGAGCGGCUGAUGGAGGAGGAGGGGGAGCCAGAGGGUUUCCAAGAGCCUGGUGAUGAGGAGUUUGUGGGCGGGGAGGAGGAGGCAGCAGGUAGAGAAGGAGAGGAGACAGUGGUUGGGGAAGAAGAGGAAGAAGGUGCACAGGUGGAGGAGGACGAACAGAUUGAGAUCUCGGAUAUGGCUAAGAAGAGGAAGAUGAAAAAGGAGCAGGAGAUCUUUGUUGGGGGUUUGGACCGUGAUGCUGUGGAAGAGGAUAUUAAGAAGGCAUUUGAGAAAAUUGGGGAGGUUGUUGAGGUCCGGCUCCACAAAGAUUUUGCUACCAACAAGAACAAAGGCUUUGCAUUUGUGACGUUUUCCAACAAGGAGCAGGCUGUCAAGGCGCUCUUGGAAUUGAAAAAUCCUGUUAUACGUGGCAAGCGCUGUGGCAUUGCACCAAGUGAGGACAAUGACACACUAUUUUUAGGCAACAUCUGCAAUACAUGGACAAAGGAAGCUAUUAGGAGAAAACUUAAGGAUUAUGGAGUUGAUGGGGUUGAGAAUAUUACUCUUGUUGAGGACACCCAAAACGAAGGUCUGAGUCGGGGAUUUGCCUUCCUGGAGUUUUCUUGCCAUGCAGAUGCAAUGCUUGCCUACAAGCGGCUCCAAAAGCCAGAUGUUAUUUUUGGCCACCCUGACAGGACUGCCAAAGUGGCUUUUGCUGAGCCAUUACGCGAACCAGACCCAGAAGUUAUGGCCCAGGUUAAAUCGGUGUUUGUUGAUGGGCUGCCACCAUAUUGGGAUGAGGAUCGAGUCAAAGAGCAGUUUAAAGCUUAUGGAGAGAUUGAGCGUGUUGUGCUAGCUCGGAACAUGUCAACUGCCAGGAGGAAGGAUUUCGGAUUUGUAAACUUUACAACUCAUGAAGCUGCUGUUGCUUGUGUUGAAGGUGUAAAUAACACUGAAUUGGGUGAUGGGAAGUCCAAGAUGAAAGCUAGAGCUAGACUUGCCAAUCCAUUACCCAAAACUCAGGCUGUAAAGGGUGGAAUGAGUGGUGGACUUCGCAUUGGACACACUGGCAUGGGGGCUUAUUCUAGGUUUGGUAGGGGAUUUGGUAGGGGCAGGUAUUUUUCACAUAGGGCAGGCUUUCAUGGCGGGCGGGGUUUUAAUUUUCGUGGGCGUGGAAGAAGCGGAAGAUUUUCUUUUACAGCUGAGGACAAUCUAGAAACCCCACCUUCUGAAUUCUAUGGUAGGAGACCAUUUGGAUUUCGAGGUGGUAGAGCAGUUUCUACAUCAGCAAGGCAUGGUGCUUUUGAUAGAGGUCGUGGAAGAGCCUUCCCAUCCAGAAGGCUACCGUAUCCACCAAAGGAGGAGUUUGGCAGACCUUUUGGUGCUCGACACUUUGGUGAAGAUCCUUACUUUUAUGGAGAUGUUGGGCAUGGUAUCAAGCGCCCAUUUUCAAUGAUGGAACAUGAUCCUGGUUACUUGGAACCUGGGUCUAGAAUACGUCCUCGUUUUGAUCAUCCUGAUCCAUUGGCUGGUAGGAGUCACUAUCAAGAUUCAUUGGGAAUGGGUGGUCUAUAUUCACAUGAUUAUUAUGGUUCAGAUUAUGGUGGUAGCACAUAUUCAUCUCUCUAUGGAGGUGAACAUUCUGGGGGUGGCUAUUAUUAUUAGAUGUAACUUGCAACUGCGAGUAUGAUGCUGCAGGAGGAAGGGCUUUCUUGAUAAGAUGACGAUCUCAAUUUUUUGAAGGACUGAAGCAAUGGAAGACCCAAGUCUUUUUUUCUAUAAACAGUUAAAAUAAUCUGUAUUAAUUGUUGUAAGACAACAGCAGGCCAAUUCUGGGGGUUCCAGAAUCUGAUAUGAGGUGCCACUGGUUGCUUAUCUGAGGUGUGUCGGCAAUUCUAUCAUUUGUUAUACACGUGUUGACAAUCUGAAGCCGGCCAAAAAAUAUUUUUAAUAUGACAUAGAUGGAUAAACAGCAGAGCAGCAUAUGCAUUCUCUUCUGAUAUAGUUAUCAAAGUUUAUGGAACUUAUGUAGAAAGAUAGCUGACUUAAGUUAUUACUUAGAGAUUCUAUAAAGCAUAAAUAGGACCAACCUGUCCUUGCUGACUAAAUUUUUGUGCAGGGAUAACUGGAAGACUCUAAAAUCUUUGCAUAUAAAUUAGUUGAACGUUAUAUGUUUCAGAAGUUGAGUUUGUAACUGACUGAAGAUAUUAUUUAGAUUUUAUAAAGCAGAAAUAGGACCAACCUGUCCAAGCUGAUAGUAGUCUAAUUUUGUGCAGAGAUAAACCUGAAGACUUUAAAAUCCUUGCGUACAAAUUAGUUGAAUGUUAUAUAUUUCAGAAGUCUUUUAGUUUGUAGUUAGACGAUGACCAACUCAAUAAGAUGCUGAUUUCAUGUAUUGUAAAGUUGAACCCCAAACACCGCGCACCCCCACAACACACCCCCCCUCCUCUCCCCCGGGGCUCUCCCUCUUUUUCCCAAAGUUUAUUAUAUAUGAAAGAUAGCUUUUCCUUUUCUUUUUUUGAAAAAAAAAGCUACCGUUAGUAUAUUUUGAUAUUCCCUUUUUUUAUGUAAGUGGCAUAUUGGUCGUAUUGUAGCAAAACUGGACAUGAAUUUUCAUGUCAAACAUUUCUUGCUUCUAUGUUGCUUGUGAUGAACAAUUUUUAGGGCUAGGAGGAAGAGGAGGGUCUGAUUUGACAAAGGGAAAACGUGACUUGGGGUAUGUAAAAAAGGGAAUCAUGUGGCUCGAUGCUUUUAUGGAAGUGGCUACCAGGAGUCAUUGACAAUGAAAGGCAUGUGGUUUUCUUUUGGGCUGACUAGUGUUUUUUUAUAUGGGGAAAAAUCUAAUAUAAGCCACAUAUGCCUUUUUUUGUCUCAGCUACAUAAGCAUUUGAUGAUCGAUGCUAUUUCAGAUCAAAUUAUCACAUAUUGAUGAAAGCAGCUGCAAUGAUUGGAACAUCAACUCUAUUGCAGUUUGUUGACGUCAAGUAGGGAUGCGAGUGGAACUGGAAUUCAGUUAUCCCAGUCUUGAUAUAGACCAUGGUUUUCAUGUUACACUGAGCUGUAGGAGUGAGGGUGUGUGUUAUGUGAAUGCUUUAAUAUUUGCAUGCCUUCAGAUUCUUAUGCUGAUUCUAGAAUAUACUUGAAAUACAAAACUAGGACAAAGGUUAUCUAAUUUCUCUUUCUUCUGAAAUCUUGUGUUGGUGUAAUUUGUGAUUUGCACCAAUUCAACUUUAGGUCUGGACAUUUUAUGCUUUCUGCUGUAACAUACGCUUCUAUGUUGUUUUGCUUCGCACAGUUCUCUAGAUGAUUUCUCUAGUUACUGUUGUUGACUACAUUUUUGCAAUUGAUAAGGUUUAUUCUCUCUGACUACGUUUUUGAAAAAAAGAUGUCAUGGUUGCCUUUUUUUCAUUGGUUUUUAAGUUAAUGCAUGUAGCAGGUAAAUAAAAUUAUGAAAUUGCUCCGUUAGUUUAGAUUUCAUUUUUAUGAGCUCUGUGACUGCUUAUAUAUCACAAGAUUCAGGUUGUCAGACUUGUUGGCAACAGACUUAGCAUCUGGAAUGCAGUAGCAGGAGGUAGCAGAAAUCUUGUGUCAUUGUAUAAUUGAACUUCCUAGUUAUCGGGUGGGUGAUGUAAACUGUAUGUGCUUUAUUACCAGUCUUUUAGUUUUUUGUAGCACUGCCCGUUGUUGGCUAAUGGAAGCUUAAGACACUGAUUUUGUGAACUAUUGGAGUUAAUCGUGGUGUAGCCAGUUUUAAAUCUUUGUCAUCAUGUACUUGGCCCAUUCAUGAAUAUAGAUGUUUGACUUG